GGUCACAUAUCUAUUUGUGUUUUCUGUUCUUCAGGUCCCAGAGAGGAGCUCAUAGACAGACUGAAAUCUUAUGCACAGUCUGGGAUGAUCUUAACUAAGCCGAACAUGCAAGGAGGAGAUGACAAGAUCAUGACUACUACGAUGCCAGGUCUGCCGCCCAUGCCCCCGAUGCCCUCUAUGCCCCUGCCGCCGGGCAUGAACAUGAUGCAGGCCAUGAACAUGAUGGGCGGCCCUCCACCCAUCCACAUGGGCAUGAUGCAGCACGACGACAGAGCGGCACAGGUGAGAG
Molecule: long non-coding RNA, 289 nt
Organism: Sinocyclocheilus rhinocerous
Lineage: Eukaryota; Metazoa; Chordata; Actinopteri; Cypriniformes; Cyprinidae
Exons: 3
Source: RefSeq, a predicted model, not a curated record